RNAcentral lists this ribosomal RNA (3471 nucleotides) under Triticum aestivum (bread wheat). Its description in RNAcentral is "partial small subunit ribosomal RNA". The record is from RNAcentral. Lineage: Eukaryota; Viridiplantae; Streptophyta; Magnoliopsida; Poales; Poaceae.
AUGGCGGAGUUUGCGCUUGGGUUGACCAAGACGGCGGUAGCGGGGACGGUGAGCAAGGUGAAGUCGGCGAUCGAGGAGGAGGAAAAACUAAGGGCGGAUGUGGAGGAGGACCUGAAGUUCAUCACCGGGGAAUUCGAGAUGAUGCAGUCCUUUCUGAACUCUGCCCACACGGGGGAGCAUGCAUCCAAGAACCAGGUGGCGCGGACGUGGGUGAGGCAGCUCCGCGACCUGGCCUUCGAGGCUGAGGACUGCGUCGAGUUUGUGGUCCACCUCGACAAGGCAUCACGCUGGGACUGGGUGCAGCGCCUAAUCUCACCCCUGAUGUGCAGGGCAAGGCCACCGCUUCCCCUGGAUGAAGCGGUCGCGGAGAUAAAGCGGCUCAAGACAAGGGUAGAGUACGUAAGCCAGAGGUACACCCGCUACAACUUCGUGGGUACCAAUGGUGGCGGCGACGGCGACUCCUUGGGUCAGCAGCAUCAACUGCUUAUGCACCCCACGGCUCAUAGUACGGCGGCAACAGCGGCGGCCUUCCAUGACUUAAGGGAGGUGUGGAAAUCCAUGGGAAAGAUUGGUGAGCACAUCACGGAUGAUCUAAAAAGGUUGAUUGAUUGCCAAGGCAGCGAGCUCCAAGUGAUCUCUCUUUGGGGAAGUCCACAAGCUGAUGUUGUUGGGGAACAUGGGUGCAUGAGUAUUAUGAAGAAGGCGUAUGAUGACCCAGAGAUCUGCCAAGAAUUCAAGAAUCGUGCCUGGGUAAAGUUGAGUGUGCAUCAUCCUUUCAACCCGGUAGAGUUUCUGCACAACUUGCUGACUCAGUUUACUGCAUCUCACCAUCACCACCACCAUGAGGAUAUGUCCGAGCUCAUGCUGCAACUCAGCAAGCACAGGUAUCUCAUAUUCCUAGAGGAAGAGUUAUCCAGUGUCGCAGACUGGGAUGCCAUCAGAAAGUGCCUUCCGGAUGGCAAAAGGGGGAGCCGGAUUGUUGUCUCCACCAAGCACUUGAAAAUUGCACUUGUCUGCACGGGGGACCCCUACCAAGUUUCCCAGCUUAUACACUUGUCUCAUGACCGAGGUCUUUAUGCUUUUUUCCCAAAGGGCUGUGGGCAUCGCCAUGGCAUGGGCGAAUUCAUUUGGCAAUUAAGACGCCAGGGUGGAGUUAUUGCAUUGUUAGAACAGGAUUUGGAUUUGGGUGACAGAAGCAAGUUCAUGAGUCAACUGACCAACGACACCCUGAAUAAGUUGAGCGUACUCAAUGGAGUGAAAUUUGAAUACAGCUACCGGAAUAUCCGUACACAUGGAUUCGCUGGCCAGCAAAAUAUGAUGGUUGUUACCAUGGCCACAGAUAUACUUGUGCAGUCUUAUCCAAAAGAUGACCAAAACAAUGCAUUUGAACAGCUAAUGGGGAUGAAACAUGAGGAUGUAACAGAAAAGUGUCGCAAGUUUCUGACUGAAAAUGAUUACCUCCUCUUUAUUGAUGAGAUGGAGUCCCACGAAGAAUGGGACUUGAUAAACCGACAACUCUUAUAUCAUAAAGAAUAUCUGCUGCUCAACCUUAGAGAUCUGAUGAUCAAGGGUUGUGACCAUUGUGGAUAUUCAGAUGGAGGAGACAACAUAAAGAAAGAGGGUGAAUCUGAACUUGAUUUUGUUGGGCGUAGCGACGAGAAGGACUUUUUUUACGGCCGCACUCCUGAUGUGAAGUUGCUGUCUGUGUGGGGGAUUGCUGUAUUCCCUGUGGACCAAAGCAUUAGACGGAGGCGUUUGCUCAGGCGGUGGAUUGCAGAGGGAUACUCCUCCGGUGGUGGUGGUACUGCAGAGGAGAAGGGAGAAAAGCUCUUCUCCGAACUCAUGAAGUUGAGCAUAUUAUACCCGGAUCAGCGGACAUCAUCAACGGCAAGAAGCUGGAUGGUCAAUGGUUUCUUCUGUGAAUACAUCAAGUCAAGGCCAAUGGAAGAUAAUCUUGUGUUUGCACUAGAGGGGAGUUGCAGCCCCAGCUCACGACUCACUGGACAACACCUCACCAUAAGCAGCUGUUGGGACAGGGAUGAGAUUGUCUUCAAGAGCAUGGACUUGUCACGACUACGGUCUUUGACAGUGUUUGGGAAGUGGGUGCCAUUCCUAGUCUCGGACAAGAUGAAGGUGCUUCGAGUGCUUGAUCUGGAGGGCACAAGUAGUACUUCAGAUGGUACUGCAAGUGUAACUGAUGAUGUUCUGGAGAAGAUCGUGAAGCAGUUUCCUCGCCUCAAGUUCAUGUCCCUGCGUGGAUGCAUGGAAGUCACUCGUCUCCCCGAUUCAUUGGGUGACAUGGGUCAGCUGGAGACUUUGGAUGCCAGGCACACCUCCAUAGUGGAGCUGCCACCUGCUGUCAUCACCAAGCUACACAAGCUGCAGUACAUUCGUGCUGGCACCACCGAAGCAAGACGACUACAGGUAGCGGCGGCAGCAGCAGCAACAACGCCUCCACCAACAACACAAGAAGACGUUCAUAGUGGCACAAGCCCCUUCCAACGGGCAUCAACUAGAAUUAUUGGAGCAUGGAACAGGACGGCACAUGCUUUGGUGGAAUCCAGCAGCAGCUGCAGCUGGUGGGAGUCCAAGAAGCAGCGCAGGCGCCGGGUUCGUGUUGCUGCAAAUGGCGACGGUAUUGAGGUUGUUUGUGCUGCCGCAGAGGGGAUUGGGAAGCUGACAGAGUUGCAUACACUCGGUGUUGUGAAUAUUGCAGGCGGGAAAGGUGGCCGCCUCCUCCUCAAGGAGCUCGGGAAUCUCACCCAGCUGCGCAAGCUCGGGUUAUCAGGCAUCAGCAGUAAAAACUGGAAGGAGUUGUGCAAUGCCAUCUCGGGUCACCUCCCUCAUCUCGAGUCCUUGUCACUGCAACUGCUGCUGGUGGAGGAGGACGAAAGCUAUAAGUUUGCUUGUUUCUUUGACAUCUCCAUGCCACCCAAGACCCUGAAGAGCCUUAAGGUGUUGUACACUACUGCUGUAUGUGCAGGCGCAUUUGGUGCAUGCAUCAAGCCAGCCUGGAUCAGUCAGCUUCCCAAUCUCAAAAAGUUGAACCAUGAGUCUACAGUGUCAAAUCAAGAGGAUAUAGAUUUGAUGUUGAGCAAUGGAUUUCCAGCUGGACUGCUAGAAAAGCGUCUUCGUAUCAAGCCGAUUCAACAGCGUCUCAGUUUCGCAAAGCAGACGCCUGGGGUAGUAUUCCUCGCCGAACUCAUGAUUGACUGCGGCAGCAGGAGAUCAAUGGUGACUUUUGGAGAAUCGCCCAACUUUUCUGUUCAAGUGGUCAGCAUCCACUGCUGCAACUCUUGUGAUGGAUGGUCGUGUUUGCAGAUUGUUGGGCUGCAGAAUAUAGGUGCGCUCAAACAAGUCUUGGUAACAGGCCCAUGCAGCGAAGAAUUCAAGGAAGACUUGCGCAGGCAACUUGUGGAGCGUGAAGACAAGCCUGAGCUGAAGCUGUUGCCUCAUAAUGGUGAUCAAUAG